UGAACGCUAGCGGCAGGCUUAAUACAUGCAAGUCGAGGGGUAGCAUGAUUGUAGCAAUACAGUUGAUGACGACCGGCAAACGGGUGCGGAACACGUACACAACCUUCCUACAAGUGGGGAAUAGCCCAGAGAAAUUUGGAUUAAUACCCCGUAACAUAGCGAUGUGGCAUCACAUUGCUAUUAUAGCUUCGGCGCUUGUUGAUGGGUGUGCGGCUGAUUAGAUAGUUGGCGGGGUAACGGCCCACCAAGUCUACGAUCAGUAGCUGAUGUGAGAGCAUGAUCAGCCACACGGGCACUGAGACACGGGCCCGACUCCUACGGGAGGCAGCAGUAAGGAAUAUUGGACAAUGGACGCAAGUCUGAUCCAGCCAUGCCGCGUGAAGGAUUAAGGUCCUCUGGAUUGUAAACUUCUUUUAUAAGGGACGAAAAAAAGGUCUUUCUAGAUCGUCUGACGGUACCUUAUGAAUAAGCACCGGCUAACUCCGUG
RNAcentral lists this ribosomal RNA (487 nucleotides) under uncultured bacterium. Its description in RNAcentral is "bacterial SSU rRNA". It matches the Rfam family "Bacterial small subunit ribosomal RNA", at positions 30 to 507 of the family's 1533-position model. The record is from RNAcentral.